This 979-nucleotide long non-coding RNA is filed under the name Struthio camelus australis. RNAcentral's name for it is "lncRNA (ENSSCUG00000001639.1)". Lineage: Eukaryota; Metazoa; Chordata; Aves; Struthioniformes; Struthionidae. The record is from RNAcentral.
UUUUGUUCGAACCGCUCAGAAAAUCCUGGUUCUCGCAAAACAGGACAGUGAGGUAUUUCCUCGCUCGGAGAUAAGAGGUGGCAAAGCCUGGCACUACCCUGACAGGCACGUUUGUGAACAAAAUGCUUUGAGCUACAUCCUUUCCCUCCACUGACGCCGGAGAUGUCCGUGAUAACACCAGGAGUGGGCCCUUGGCGCCCAGUUUGCUACACUGCAAUUAGAGAAAAGUACUGGAAAGCGAUUGAGACAGCAGUAUGGCCCGGUCAGAGCAUCAAGACCUGAGUCCUCAUCUGUGACCUGGUCACUGCUCAUCUUUAUGUCUCCAGCUGGAAGGAAGGGAGAAUAAAAUCACCAUCUUGGCCCUGCACAACUUUCCUGAGGAAGGGAGACACAAGAGCAAGGAGGCUCUACCAGCCUGCGUUUCCGAGGCAGCGUAGGGCACAUGAAGAAGACAAAAAGGAGUUUUGAGGCGCGUCCAGCGGGUUUCCUCUCCCCCAGCGGUGACUGGAGGCAGGGAAUCUUACACACUGGACCCGGCAUCUUUCAUGCUUCCCUGCUGUCAUUGGAUGAGUGGAGUACAAGCCUUGUUACCUCAGGCAAAAGGGCAUAAUUACAAGUCAGUAAGCUCCUGCUGCAUGAAGAUGCAGAGCUGUUACAAAAUACAAGAAGAAUUCACUGCAGACGGGUUCAUACAGAGCAAUGAUCUCUUCUACAAGGAGUGGUAGCACGGGAUUCAGGCACCAGUUAAACCUCCUUAAAUCCCUCUUAAACCCUGCCAUACUGAGUAAAAAAUAAUACAUAGGAAAGCAGGUAUGUUACGAGUUUCUGUAUUUGUCACACAUUGGAUAUUUGAGUUAACCACAAAAGUUUUACUAGGACAGAAUUAUCUGAUAAUCCACUUUAUUUUACUUGGAGAACUGGGAUUUAUAAGUAGGUUAAUUUAAUCCCUAAAAAAUAAAACAUGAUGUUACUAUUCCCA